CCUACGGGAGGCAGCAGUGAGGAAUAUUGGUCAAUGGGCGCAAGCCUGAACCAGCCAUGCCGCGUGCAGGAAGAAUGCCCUAUGGGUUGUAAACUGCUUUUAUUUGGGAAUAAACCUCUUUACGUGUAGAGAGCUGAAGGUACCAAAUGAAUAAGCACCGGCUAACUCCGUGCCAGCAGCCGCGGUAAUA
This 190-nucleotide ribosomal RNA is filed under the name uncultured bacterium. RNAcentral describes it as "partial 16S ribosomal RNA". It matches the Rfam family "Bacterial small subunit ribosomal RNA", at positions 338 to 525 of the family's 1533-position model. The record is from RNAcentral.